AGUGAACGCUGGCGGUAGGCCUAACACAUGCAAGUCGAACGGCGGCACAGUAAGAGCUUGCUCUUACGGGUGGCGAGUGGCGGACGGGUGAGGAAUACAUCGGAAUCUACUUUUUCGUGGGGGAUAACGUAGGGAAACUUACGCUAAUACCGCAUACGACCUACGGGUGAAAGCAGGGGAUCUUCGGACCUUGCGCGAUUGAAUGAGCCGAUGUCGGAUUAGCUAGUUGGCGGGGUAAAGGCCCACCAAGGCGACGAUCCGUAGCUGGUCUGAGAGGAUGAUCAGCCACACUGGAACUGAGACACGGUCCAGACUCCUACGGGAGGCAGCAGUGGGGAAUAUUGGACAAAGGGCGCAAGCCUGAUCCAGCCAUACCGCGUGGGUGAAGAAGGCCUUCGGGUUGUAAAGCCCUUUUGUUGGGAAAGAAAAGCAGCAGGUUAAUACCCCGCUGUUCUGACGGUACCCAAAGAAUAAGCACCGGCUAACUUCGUG
RNAcentral lists this ribosomal RNA (492 nucleotides) under uncultured bacterium. RNAcentral's name for it is "partial 16S ribosomal RNA". It matches the Rfam family "Bacterial small subunit ribosomal RNA", at positions 29 to 507 of the family's 1533-position model. The record is from RNAcentral.